This 321-nucleotide ribosomal RNA is filed under the name Triticum aestivum (bread wheat). Its description in RNAcentral is "partial small subunit ribosomal RNA". Lineage: Eukaryota; Viridiplantae; Streptophyta; Magnoliopsida; Poales; Poaceae. The record is from RNAcentral.
AUGCAAUGCAUUCUUUUUUUCCUUGGGAUGAUUUUUCUCGGAAGUAACUUGGCCAAUAAUGACAUUUUUAUAUGCUGCAACCUAGAAGAAACAACCACCAAUGGACAGGAAUUCGUCACAUUAACUGGUCUAUCUCUUUCAGUCCAUGCCGACGAAGCAAUACAGAAGCAUCCUCCUGCUUACAUGCAUCUGGAGCAAAGCAUGAAGCACAAGCUUCUCAAGGAUAAGCUGACACCUAAUAAGGAUGAGAACAACGGAGAUGCUAAGAGGCAACCUUUCGGGGUUAAGGAUAUAAACAACAACAUGGCUUUUGGAUCUUGA